UUAAAUUGAAGAGUUUGAUCAUGGCUCAGAUUGAACGCUCGCGGCAGGCCUAACACAUGCAAGUCGAACGGUAACAGGAAGCAGCUUGCUGCUUUGCUGACGAGUGGCGGACGGGUGAGUAAUGUCUGGGAAACUGCCUGAUGGAGGGGGAUAACUACUGGAAACGGUAGCUAAUACCGCAUAACGUCGCAAGACCAAAGAGGGGGACCUUCGGGCCUCUUGCCAUCGGAUGUGCCCAGAUGGGAUUAGCUAGUAGGUGGGGUAAAGGCUCACCUAGGCGACGAUCCCUAG
Molecule: ribosomal RNA, 291 nt
Filed under: Escherichia coli LAU-EC6
Lineage: Bacteria; Pseudomonadati; Pseudomonadota; Gammaproteobacteria; Enterobacterales; Enterobacteriaceae
Description: partial 16S ribosomal RNA
Rfam family: Bacterial small subunit ribosomal RNA
Source: RNAcentral